This is a microRNA precursor of Arabidopsis thaliana (thale cress), 236 nucleotides long. It matches the Rfam family "MIR447 microRNA precursor family". Lineage: Eukaryota; Viridiplantae; Streptophyta; Magnoliopsida; Brassicales; Brassicaceae. The record is from Rfam.
CAUUCUUAAUAUACAAUACUACUUUUUCAUCCAUUAAUCCCCUUACAAUGUCGAGUAAACGAAGCAUCUGUCCCCUGGUAUUGUCUUCGAGCUUGGUGUGUUUUUCUAGCCAGCCCCAAGUUCUCGAGUUGAUCAUUGUUUGUAUUCUGACACAUUAUUUGGGGACGAGAUGUUUUGUUGACUCGAUAUAAGAAGGGGCUUUAUGGAAGAAAUUGUAGUAUUAUAUAUUGAGAAUG